UACAGGGGGUGCAAACGUUGCUCGGAAUUAUUGGGCGUAAAGCGCGCGUAGGCGGCCACUUAAGUCGGAUGUGAAAGCCCCUGGCUCAACUGGGGAAGUGCACCCGAAACUGAAUGGCUUGAGUGCGAAAGAGGGUCGCGGAAUUCCCGGUGUAGAGGUGAAAUUCGUAGAUAUCGGGAGGAACACCAGUGGCGAAGGCGGCGAUCUGGGAAGAUACUGACGCUGAGGUGCGAAAGCGUGGGGAGCAAACAGG
RNAcentral lists this ribosomal RNA (253 nucleotides) under uncultured bacterium. RNAcentral describes it as "partial 16S ribosomal RNA". It matches the Rfam family "Bacterial small subunit ribosomal RNA", at positions 524 to 776 of the family's 1533-position model. The record is from RNAcentral.